CAGUAGCCGCGGUAAUACGAAGGGUGCAAGCGUUAAUCGGAAUUACUGGGCGUAAAGCGUGCGUAGGCGGUUUGUUAAGUCUGUUGUGAAAUCCCCGGGCUCAACCUGGGAAUUGCAGUGGAUACUGGAUCACUAGAGUGUGGUAGAGGAUAGUGGAAUUUCCGGUGUAGCAGUGAAAUGCGUAGAGAUCGGAAGGAACAUCUGUGGCGAAGGCGACUAUCUGGGCCAACACUGACACUGAGGCACGAAAGCGUGGGGAGCAAACAGGAUUAGAUACCCCUGUAGUCCCUGUCUCUUAUAA
Molecule: ribosomal RNA, 301 nt
Filed under: uncultured bacterium
Lineage: Bacteria
Description: partial 16S ribosomal RNA
Rfam family: Bacterial small subunit ribosomal RNA
Source: RNAcentral